This 586-nucleotide long non-coding RNA is filed under the name Homo sapiens (human). RNAcentral describes it as "HSALNT0123843". The record is from RNAcentral. Lineage: Eukaryota; Metazoa; Chordata; Mammalia; Primates; Hominidae.
GUCUCAAUAACUUGGGAGGCUGAGGGAUGAGAAUUGCUUGAACUUGGGAGGCAGAGAUUGCAGUGAGCUGAGAUCGUGCCACUGCACUCCAGCCUGGGCAACAAGCGAGACUCCGUCUUAAAAAAAAAAUAAAGUGAAGAAAUCAAUAAAUAAGGACAAUAAAUGAAGUAUAACUGAACAAAAUAAUAAUCCGUGUGUUAAUUUAACUAGUAAAAUAGAGAAAUACAGCUGGCACGGGGGCUCACGCCUGUAAUCCCAGUACUUUGGGAGGCCGAGGUGGGUGGAUCACCUUUGCUUGGGAGUUCGAGACCAGCCUGACCAACACUCCAUCUCAAAAAUAAAAAAAAAAUAAAAAAAAAUAGAGAAAUACACAAAUGAGAGGUUAUAGGCAGGUGGAUCGCCUGAGGUCAGGAGUUCGAGACCAGCCCUUGCCAGCAUUGUGAAACCCUGUCUCUACUAGAAAUACAAAAAAUUAGCUGGGCGUGGUGGCAAGCGCCUGUCAUCCCAGCUACUAGGGAGGCUGAGGCGGGAGAAUCACUUGAACCUGGGAGGCGAAGGUUGCAGGUAGCCGAGAUUGCACCAUUGC